AUACGGAGGGUGCAAGCGUUGUUCGGAAUUACUGGGCGUAAAGCGCGUGCAGGCGGUAAGGUAAGUCAGAUGUGAAAGCCCCGGGCUCAACCCGGGAAGUGCAUUUGAUACUGCCUUUCUUGAGUAUGGGAGAGGAGAGUGGAAUUCCCAGUGUAGAGGUGAAAUUCGUAGAUAUUGGGAGGAACACCCGUGGCGAAGGCGACUCUCUGGACCAAUACUGACGCUGAGACGCGAAAGCGUGGGGAGCGAACAGGAUUAGAUACCCCGGUAGUCC
Molecule: ribosomal RNA, 274 nt
Filed under: uncultured bacterium
Lineage: Bacteria
Description: partial 16S ribosomal RNA
Rfam family: Bacterial small subunit ribosomal RNA
Source: RNAcentral